UUUGAUGGCGACCGGCGCACGGGUGAGUAACACGUAUCCAACCUGCCGAUGACUCGGGGAUAGCCUUUCGAAAGAAAGAUUAAUACCCGAUGGCAUAGUUCUUCCGCAUGGUGGAACUAUUAAAGAAUUUCGGUCAUCGAUGGGGAUGCGUUCCAUUAGGUUGUUGGCGGGGUAACGGCCCACCAAGCCUUCGAUGGAUAGGGGUUCUGAGAGGAAGGUCCCCCACAUUGGAACUGAGACACGGUCCAAACUCCUACGGGAGCAGCAUG
This 269-nucleotide ribosomal RNA is filed under the name uncultured bacterium. RNAcentral describes it as "partial 16S ribosomal RNA". It matches the Rfam family "Bacterial small subunit ribosomal RNA", at positions 84 to 353 of the family's 1533-position model. The record is from RNAcentral.